RNAcentral lists this ribosomal RNA (244 nucleotides) under Escherichia coli. RNAcentral describes it as "partial 16S ribosomal RNA". It matches the Rfam family "Bacterial small subunit ribosomal RNA", at positions 837 to 1205 of the family's 1533-position model. Lineage: Bacteria; Pseudomonadati; Pseudomonadota; Gammaproteobacteria; Enterobacterales; Enterobacteriaceae. The record is from RNAcentral.
GCGUGGCUUCCGGAGCUAACGCGUUAAGUCGACCGCGUGGGGAGUACGGCCGCAAGGUUAAAACUCAAAUGAAUUGACGGGGGCCCGCCCAAGCGGUGGAGCAUGUGGUUUAAUUCGAUGCAACGCGAAGAACCUUACCUGUUCUUGACAUCCACAGAACCUUGUAGAGAUACGAUGGUGUCACCCAGGCAGAUAAGGUGAGUUAUUAUCGCUUUGAACGGCAUAUCACCCUGACCUGAAAUAC